AACGCUAGCGACAGGCUAACACAUGCAAGUCGAGGGUAACAGGUAGCAAUACCGCUGACGACCGGCGCACGGGUGAGUAACGCGUAUGCAACCUACCUAGUAACUGGGGAAUAGCUCCCGUGAAAGGGGAAUUAACACCGCAGUAACACUAUUGAUUCGCAUGGAUUGGUAGUUAAAUGUAGCGAUACAGGUUAUAGAUGGGCAUGCGUGACAUUAGCUAGUUGGUGAGGUAACGGCUCACCAAGGCUACGAUGUCUAGGGGUUCUGAGAGGAAGGUCCCCCACACUGGUACUGAGACACGGACCAGACUCCUACGGGAGGCAGCAGUGAGGAAUAUUGGUCAAUGGGCGCAAGCCUGAACCAGCCAUGUCGCGUGCAGGAAGACUGCCCUAUUGGGUUGUAAACUGCUUUUAUAGUAGAAGAAACACAUCUACGUGUAGAUGUCUGCCAGUAUACUAUGAAUAAGCAUCGGCUAACUCCGUGCCAGCAGCAGC
RNAcentral lists this ribosomal RNA (494 nucleotides) under uncultured bacterium. RNAcentral's name for it is "bacterial SSU rRNA". It matches the Rfam family "Bacterial small subunit ribosomal RNA", at positions 32 to 518 of the family's 1533-position model. The record is from RNAcentral.